This 460-nucleotide ribosomal RNA is filed under the name uncultured bacterium. Its description in RNAcentral is "partial 16S ribosomal RNA". It matches the Rfam family "Bacterial small subunit ribosomal RNA", at positions 338 to 795 of the family's 1533-position model. The record is from RNAcentral.
CCUACGGGUGGCAGCAGUGAGGAAUAUUGGUCAAUGGACGAGAGUCUGAACCAGCCAAGUAGCGUGAAGGAUGACUGCCCUAUGGGUUGUAAACUUCUUUUAUAUGGGAAUAAAAUGUUCCACGUGUGGGAUUUUGUAUGUACCAUAUGAAUAAGGAUCGGCUAACUCCGUGCCAGCAGCCGCGGUAAUACGGAGUUUCCGAGCGUUAUCCGGAUUUAUUGGGUUUAAAGGGAGCGUAGGUGGAUUGUUAAGUCAGUUGUGAAAGUUUGCGGCUCAACCGUAAAAUUGCAGUUGAAACUGGCAGUCUUGAGUACAGUAGAGGUGGGCGGAAUUCGUGGUGUAGCGGUGAAAUGCUUAGAUAUCACGAAGAACUCCGAUUGCGAAGGCAGUUCACUGGACUGCAACUGACACUGAGGCUCGAAAGUGUGGGUAUCAAACAGGAUUAGAUACCCCAGUAGUC